GUCUGCGCAGGCGCCGUGUGCCCAGGCGCCUGGCGUCCGCGUCGGCGAUCCGGGGUCUGGGCGCGGCGAGGUCUGGUGUGGCAGAUGUGGAUAGCUGGACCCUCCUGGGUGCCUCUGCGUUAUGUCGUUUGGUUGAUGCAUUUGGAGAGAAUCUGUGCUCUCCACAACUGCAGGGGCAACAUGCUUUCCUGGCCUCUUCAGAUCAGGGUGGCUGUUCUUGGGUGCUGCACCAAAACUCCAGCAGUGGGCUUUCUUCAAGGUGAGCUGCAAGAUGGAAUCUGAGGCCCACCCGUCAGUAAGAGUUUCCUCCUGGUAUCCAUGGAAUCUACUGGUCUGUCUCACUUUGGCCUUUGACCCAGGCAGGGGUUCCUAACAUCUACAUCGGUCAUUCGGACAGCCUUGCUUUUGGUUCACUGCCUUACACGGGGCUUCCAGAUGUUGACCUGCUUCAUUUUACAGUAUCAGGAAAUCACUUUCCCCUCAGAAAUGGCCGGCUCACCUCAUUCCUGCCAAGACCCAGGUCCGUGUUCUCACAGUGCUGCCAUCUUUCCUCCGUGUGAGCGUGGGCUGUGCGGAGAGUGGACCUCGGUGUGUGCGGGGCUGCGUGCACUGCCAUCGCUCCCUCUACACGAGCCGGCGUGGACCCAGGGCUGAGCUGUGACCACGAGGGCCAUCCCGACGAGCCGCCAUGGACCCAGGGCUGAGCUGUGACCAUGAGGGCUAUCCCGACGAGCUGCCGUGGACCCAGGGCUGAGCCGUGACCAUGAGGGCCAUCCCGAAACUGUGAUUGUUUUCUGAAUGUGGAAGCGUCGGCCGAGCGCGGUCCUUGGAGAACCCUUGCUGCGGAGAAUGACGCUCACUCUGCGGCCUGGCCUCGCCUCCCCAUCCCUUCUGCAAACUCACAGGACAGGAUUGAUGGGGAGAGCCCAGGCGAAACGAAGCUGACCCUAGUGACCAGCCCUACUGGCGGCUCUGGAACAGGCCCGGGACCGGUGGCCUGGAGACAGUGGUCCUUUCUGGAUGGGCUGCAGUCUCCGAAGGCUUCCCCCACUGGAGUCAGCCCUUUAGGAGUUUGUCCAGUGCCUCCAGAAAGCUGUUUUUUGGGGGACGGAGGACUUGGCCUGGAAUUCUGGAAUUCCCAGGGGGUCAGACAUGGUUAUGGGAAGUUUAAUAAAACCGGUGAAUCACGUGAAUUCUGCAACAGCUGCACGUGUGACCUGGGCAAUCCGUUUCCCUCCUUUGUGGUCCUGUAGAGCCCUCAGGGUCAUAAAAAGCUGGGAGCCGCUG
This is a long non-coding RNA of Homo sapiens (human), 1287 nucleotides long. Ensembl annotates it as SNAI3 antisense RNA 1. Its record names the gene SNAI3-AS1. NCBI's taxonomy places the organism in Eukaryota, Metazoa, Chordata, Mammalia, Primates, Hominidae. The record is from Ensembl.